Chelonia mydas (Green sea turtle) is the source of this 574-nucleotide long non-coding RNA. RefSeq lists it as uncharacterized. Lineage: Eukaryota; Metazoa; Chordata; Testudines; Cheloniidae. The transcript is spliced from 3 exons. The record is from RefSeq and is a predicted model, not a curated record.
CGGCCUGGCGCGCGCGGGGGGGGGAGCAGCGCAGGCAGGUGCGCCGCGCCCCCACCGACUGCAGGCCAGCCGCGGGCAGAGCGACAGAGGCCUGGAGGGGAAGCCCCCCGCUCCCCACCCCCUUAGCGUUGUUCGCUCCAGAGGGGGGAAAGUAAUGUCAGCCUUCAAAGGCGCUGGAAACAGGUUGUCAUCAGCCUUGGUUUGACAUUUCCUGCAGCUGUAAUAAAGCAAAAUGAAUUAAUUUCAUUCCUGAUAUGUUGCCAGACAUAAGGAGGUUGUUUAAAAAAAGAUUUAGGGCCAAGUUCAUUCCUAGUGUCCAGUCACUGACUCCCAAUUGUUUUUCUGUUGAGGCAUUUUACUGAACAUUUCUCUGUGAAUCCACAAAAAUGUGAACCAGAUAUUGUGAAAGUAAGCUUGAGUAUAAAAUCAGAUGCCUUCUAGAAUGUUUACUUAUAGAAGAAUUGAAUAGGACACACAUCAUAUUGAUAUUCCUAAUUUCCCAUAUAUCUGAACUCUAUAAAACCACCAUUUGCGAUAGUCCUGCCACUCUCAAUAAAAUAAAAAUAAAACAUUG